RNAcentral lists this ribosomal RNA (465 nucleotides) under uncultured bacterium. Its description in RNAcentral is "bacterial SSU rRNA". It matches the Rfam family "Bacterial small subunit ribosomal RNA", at positions 329 to 792 of the family's 1533-position model. The record is from RNAcentral.
UUCCAGACUCCUACGGGAGGCAGCAGUGAGGAAUAUUGGUCAAUGGCCGAGAGGCUGAACCAGCCAAGUCGCGUGAGGGAAGACGGCCCUACGGGUUGUAAACCUCUUUUGUCGGGGAGCAAAGCGAGUCACGUGUGACUCAUUGAGAGUACCCGAAGAAAAAGCAUCGGCUAACUCCGUGCCAGCAGCCGCGGUAAUACGGAGGAUGCGAGCGUUAUCCGGAUUUAUUGGGUUUAAAGGGUGCGUAGGCGGAAUAUCAAGUCAGCGGUAAAAAUUCGGGGCUCAACCCCGUCGUGCCGUUGAAACUGAUGUUCUUGAGUGGGCGAGAAGUAUGCGGAAUGCGUGGUGUAGCGGUGAAAUGCAUAGAUAUCACGCAGAACUCCGAUUGCGAAGGCAGCAUACCGGCGCCCAACUGACGCUGAAGCACGAAAGCGUGGGUAUCGAACAGGAUUAGAUGCCCUUGUA